RNAcentral lists this small RNA (132 nucleotides) under Escherichia coli. Its description in RNAcentral is "RtT sRNA". It matches the Rfam family "RtT RNA". Rfam says of the family: This family represents a bacterial cis-regulatory element known as RtT RNA. The record is from RNAcentral. Lineage: Bacteria; Pseudomonadati; Pseudomonadota; Gammaproteobacteria; Enterobacterales; Enterobacteriaceae.
GUUCUGCCCAUGCGGGGAAGGAUGAGAAGCUUCGACUAAGGUUCGGCUCGAGCGUCAGCGAGAGAGCGUUGCCGCAGGCAACGACCCGAAGGGCGAAGCGCGCAGCGCUGAGUAAUCCUUCCCCCACCACCA